RNAcentral lists this microRNA (22 nucleotides) under Octopus vulgaris (common octopus). Its description in RNAcentral is "Ovu-Mir-10-P2_5p (mature (guide))". RNAcentral also lists the same sequence under 1 other name. The record is from RNAcentral. Lineage: Eukaryota; Metazoa; Mollusca; Cephalopoda; Octopoda; Octopodidae.
AACCCGUAGCUCUGGACUUGUG